This 240-nucleotide ribosomal RNA is filed under the name uncultured Lactobacillus sp. Its description in RNAcentral is "partial 16S ribosomal RNA". It matches the Rfam family "Bacterial small subunit ribosomal RNA", at positions 122 to 354 of the family's 1533-position model. The record is from RNAcentral. Lineage: Bacteria; Bacillati; Bacillota; Bacilli; Lactobacillales; Lactobacillaceae.
UAACCUGCCCAAGAGAUCGGGAUAACACCUGGAAACAGAUGCUAAUACCGGAUAACAACAGAUGAUGCCUAUCAACUGUUUAAAAGAUGGUUCUGCUAUCACUCUUGGAUGGACCUGCGGUGCAUUAGCUAGUUGGUAGGGUAACGGCCUACCAAGGCGAUGAUGCAUAGCCGAGUUGAGAGACUGAUCGGCCACAUUGGGACUGAGACACGGCCCAAACUCCUACGGGAGGCAGCAGAU